This is a non-coding RNA of Microcebus murinus (gray mouse lemur), 3116 nucleotides long. NCBI's taxonomy places the organism in Eukaryota, Metazoa, Chordata, Mammalia, Primates, Cheirogaleidae. The record is from RefSeq and is a predicted model, not a curated record.
GCUGGGUGUAGGUGGAGUCACCCCGGGGCCUGGACGGGAGCCUGGUGGGGUCAGCCCCCGUCGAGCGGCCUGGAUCAUGGCUGUGUGGGGAGUGGGAGGCCGCCUAGGCCUGCGCGGGUGUCUCGGCGCCGGCAGGCUCUUAAGUCCCCGUUUCCAGAGCCGCGGCCCUCAGGACGUGGAAGACGGGGACAGGCUACAGCCUUCCUUGAGGACACCCAAGAUCCCAAAGAUCUACACCAAAACAGGAGACAAAGGGUUUUCUAGCACCUUCACUGGAGAAAGGAGACCCAAAGAUGACCAAGUGUUUGAAGCCGUGGGAACUACAGAUGAAUUAAGUUCAGCUAUCGGGUUUGCUAUGGAAUUAAUCGAGGAAAAGGGCCACACCUUUGCUGAAGAGCUUCAGAAAAUCCAGUGUGUGCUGCAGGACGUCGGCUCCGCCCUGGCGACUCCGCGCUCCUCGGCCAGGGAAGCUCACUUAAAGCACACCGCAUUCGAGGCAGGGCCCAUCCUGGAGCUCGAGCAGUGGAUCGACAGAUACACCAGCCAGCUGCCCCCGCUCACGGCCUUCAUCCUGCCCUCGGGGGGCAAGAGCAGCUCUGCGUUGCAUUUCUGUCGGGCCGUGUGCCGCCGAGCAGAGAGAUGCGUGGUGCCUCUCGUCCAGAUGGGAGAGACUGACGCCAACGUGGCCAAGUUCUUAAACAGACUCAGCGACUACCUCUUCACGUUGGCCAGAUACGCAGCCAUGAAGGAGGGGAAUCGAGAAAAAAUCUACAAGAAAAGCGACCCAUAGGACUGAGCCCGAGGCCUCUUUGAGAUAACAGAAAGGGGGAGAUUUGUGGACCCCUCCAUGGCGAUGGCGGGGAAGGGAAGAGCUUGCCCUUCCCUUGUCCUGGUUCCUGAAGGUCCCCCCAGCAGGGCAGGAAGCAGCCCUCUGUCCCGGCUCAGCUUUGUUGCCCACCCCCUGCCACUUCUCUCCAGGGACCGUGGCCCUCUGAGGAUGCUGCCCCGUCCCCAGGCUUGGAGGGCAGUGGGAAUGAACUCAGUAUCGUCGGCAAGGACGUUGUCACCACCGCUCCCUCCCGCUAUGAAACGACACUGCCAGUGCCAGCUGUGUCCUUGGGAAGGGGAUAUUUAUGAAGGGCAGAGAGGCAGCCCGGAGAACCUAAAGAUUCCACGCUGCUAAUUGCAGGAAAUGAAUUCCAAAGGGCAGGCGCUUGCGACCGGAGGGGCGCACACGCCUGGCGCAGUCGUCAUUUACUGACGGGGUGCCCGCUCAGCAUGGCCACCACGCUGGGCUCGGGAAGCCCGGUCAUGCUGGCCACUGUCCUUGCUGGCAAGUCGGCAAAGGUUAAAGUCUCGGCUGUGCGCGUCGUUUUGCCUUCGUUCCUGCCACCUCGCCGCUAACUUUGCAGGCAGGGCAGGCACGUGUGUGCCUUCUGGGUGCUUUCAAUGCCGACAGUGCUGAUGACCUCGAGCGAAUGUCCUCCAGGGGGUGGCCCUGUCCAGUGCCUCCCACUCCGUAGUCAGUGCCAGGUGUGGUACAGAGUAGGUGCUUAGUAUUUGCAAACAGAACUGCACACGGGGAGAUCGCGAGUGUUCGGGAGAAGCUGAUGGCGGUUAACUGCCGAGCGGGCGGCCCCCGCUGCGAGAGCUCGCAGAACUGCUCCAUUCUGCCUGCGCCUCCACGUCUUCCUGGACAGCGCAGGAUGGACAUAAUAAAGCGACAGCCCCACAAUCCUAGCCAUGGUAAAGCACAGCCUACAAAGGACGAGGAACGCUCUCUGAGUAAAUACAACGUCCUCAAGCGACAGUCUUUGAAACAAGGCCUUUGCCUGUUGCCAAGUCCUGUCCCCACCUGGCCUUCCAGGAGCGGCUGAAUUACAGGCCAGACGUUAACGCUGGUUCUCAGGCCCCCGCCUCUGUAUCUGUCGUCCAGUUCACCAGCAAACGCUCCCCUGAGAGAUGGCCCAGGUGCAGGGCAGACGCCACAUCUUGGCAGGUUUUCUCCCUCUGCUGGAAAAACUGAGAAGGCUGGCUUUGGGGCCAGGAGGAUGGGUUGCGUGAAGCAUUUGCUCUUCCAUGGUGCAUUAUGAAGCUAUUUUAGAGGUCAAGGCAAAAGGAAAAAUGUGGACCCCUCUGUACCCUGACCAAAGCGUCCUCCCAUAAUUGGAACCAGGUGGGAAGUUAAUAAAAGUUCUAUCAAAAAACCGGUCUAUUGAUAAAGCCUGUGUUGCCCCUUGUGUUCAGCCCUCAUCAACGAUCAUUCCCAUAGCGCAGUAAUGUGGGGUUGUGAAACAAACAGCAGCCUCUUUUUACAUAAAAUCGUGGCCCCUUGUUUAUCAUAGUUUUUUUUUUUUCAUAACUUGAUUUUUGAAAAUAUUGCAUGGAAAUAUUUCUGGAUCGCUGAGUUCGCUGGCACUCCCCUGCAUUUUGCACCCACAACAGUGCCUCACCCAGGUGCAGCUUGGGUUCCCUGGGACACACUGCAUAGCAUCCUUACCAGAGGCGAGCCGGUGGUUGGAUCUGAAGACAAGCCCAAGGGUGACAGUGACACCAGCCAAGUUGUAGGAGGGGCCCCUGGCCAAGCGCUCUGCAGAUGUUAUCUCAUUUAAACCUCAGAGCAACCCUGGGAGGAGGCACUCGAGGCGACCCACUUUGCAGGUGAGGAAACUGAGGCGUAGAGAGGGGAACCGAGCUGUCCCGGUGAGUCGGUGCCAAAACGUGGGCCCAGGCCGUGGCCUCAUGACUCCCACCCUACUGCCACUUGACAGUCAUGUUAAUCACAACCUGGAUUGCAGCGAACAACGCCAGGCACCCAUAGAUCCUGAUGUCUCGUUUCUCAACCUACUUUCCCUUAAUUUAUAUUUCACGGCUAUUGUUAAUGUGCAUUUUUCACCAAGUAAUUUCCACAGCCCGAACUUGUAACGCAUCCCGGUGACAAACGUCCCUGGUUCCGAAUCCCCCGUCAGCUGCAAUUUCAACCUUGCCUCCUUCCGACAGCCCAUCCAGUUUUAUGAUCGCUCUGUCCCAGUGAUCACUACUGAACCUUUAAGAAUCCAGACACAUUUCAAGUUUAAUUGAAUAAAAUUCUUUGUAUAAUAAAUUCCGCACGAGUG